RNAcentral lists this unclassified non-coding RNA (330 nucleotides) under Burkholderia mallei FMH. RNAcentral describes it as "10Sa RNA (tmRNA)". The record is from RNAcentral. Lineage: Bacteria; Pseudomonadati; Pseudomonadota; Betaproteobacteria; Burkholderiales; Burkholderiaceae. RNAcentral also lists the same sequence under 1 other name.
CGUCGCGAUCAGGUCGGUGCGGCUCAGGAUGAACGGCAGGCUCAUGAAAUGCGGUGUCUCGAGCACCGCCCGGCGCGUGAGGCGCCGCUUCGUCAGAUACUGCUCGAGCACCUCCUGGCUGCGGCCUUCCGCUCGCACCACCGCGUGGCCGCACGCGAGAAACCGCUCGAGCGUGAGCGGCCGCUCGGCGAGCGGGUGGCCGCGCCGCAGCAGGCAGAUGAAGCGGUGCGUGAAAAGCCGUUGCUGGAAGAAGUUCGUGCCGCCGAGAUCCGGAAAGUAGCCGACCGCGAGAUCGACGCCGCCGUCCUCGAGCGCGUGCGCGACUUCCGC